This is a long non-coding RNA of Hyla sarda, 518 nucleotides long. RefSeq lists it as uncharacterized. Lineage: Eukaryota; Metazoa; Chordata; Amphibia; Anura; Hylidae. The record is from RefSeq and is a predicted model, not a curated record. The transcript has 4 exons.
UAAAGCAGCAUCAAUUCCUGCACAAUUGCAUCUAGGCCAAAGCCUAAGCAACAGCAGCCACUUCUAAAACUUGAAUGACAACAUUAAAUGUCGCAGAAAUGUCGCAUGACCACCUUAAAAAGUCCCAAACAUAACCAAAUCACAAACAAGAUUAAUGAAAAAACUAUCGCAAACAAGAACACUACAGAGCGACUACAAAGAAGACCUGAGACUACUCCAACACACACUUGCAAGCAGAAACAGCAGACAAAGAAAAAAGGUAAGCAAAAACAGAACUUGUGUAAAACAGCUGGAUUGUGAGAAAACGCGCAGGCCGGCGUACCACUAAAAUUCGCACAAAGUCGAAUUCGAUAAGCCAGGAUUUCUAAAAAAGGAAGAAGAAUGAAGAAAUGUUAAUGUUUUGCCAAGAUAUAGAUCAUAUAAUUGUUUGUACAUAAAAUGUUUGAUUUUGACAGUGCACAUUUAACUAUUUUUUAAAAGUAGAAUUUCACUUUAAGAUUUUUAAGCCUUGGGGAAAA